UGGGAGACACUGUCCACAGGCCAGUGUGUCAGAGCGAUCCAUCUCCCCAAGCCUGGGGGUCAUUGGCAGCCAUGAUUCUCACACGCUGACUGGUUGGCACCAAAAGCAUCUAAUGGCCACUAACCUUGGAGCUUAGUAAUGAGCUCCCCUUAAGUGAUGCUCUGAGCACAGUGGCGGAUGCGCUGGUGGGAAGUGUUCUCGAGCAGGAUGGCUCUUGCUGGCACGGCAGUGUAUCUUGGGUGAUUUUUCAAACUGAGCCUCUUUUGAAAAACAAAAAACCACAGAAAUGUUAGUGU
This 296-nucleotide long non-coding RNA is filed under the name Bos taurus (domestic cattle). Its description in RNAcentral is "long non-coding RNA NONBTAT013491". The record is from RNAcentral. Lineage: Eukaryota; Metazoa; Chordata; Mammalia; Artiodactyla; Bovidae.